GAGCUGUGAUGAUUAAAGCGCAUAUUGAUGAUUGGUUUCAUCACUAUCGUCUUUACAGACGAUACCAGUGCGCAUCUGAGCUC
This is a small nucleolar RNA of Arabis alpina (gray rockcress), 83 nucleotides long. It matches the Rfam family "small nucleolar RNA snoR114". Lineage: Eukaryota; Viridiplantae; Streptophyta; Magnoliopsida; Brassicales; Brassicaceae. The record is from Rfam.